Molecule: small RNA, 38 nt
Filed under: Salmonella enterica subsp. enterica serovar Typhi
Lineage: Bacteria; Pseudomonadati; Pseudomonadota; Gammaproteobacteria; Enterobacterales; Enterobacteriaceae
Description: StyR-292
Source: RNAcentral
CUUCCACAAUAUCGAUCAGAAUAGGCGUUGCCUUGUAA